AGAGUUUGAUCAUGGCUCAGAUUGAACGCUGGCGGCAGGCCUAACACAUGCAAGUCGAGCGGAUGAAGGGAGCUUGCUCCCGGAUUCAGCGGCGGACGGGUGAGUAAUGCCUAGGAAUCUGCCUGGUAGUGGGGGACAACGUUCCGAAAGGAGCGCUAAUACCGCAUACGUCCUACGGGAGAAAGUGGGGGAUCUUCGGACCUCACGCUAUCAGAUGAGCCUAGGUCGGAUUAGCUAGUAGGUGGGGUAAUGGCUCACCUAGGCGACGAUCCGUAACUGGUCUGAGAGGAUGAUCAGUCACACUGGAACUGAGACACGGUCCAGACUCCUACGGGAGGCAGCAGUGGGGAAUAUUGCACAAUGGGCGCAAGCCUGAUGCAGCGACGCCGCGUGAGGGAUGACGGCCUUCGGGUUGUAAACCUCUUUCAGCAGGGAAGAAGC
RNAcentral lists this ribosomal RNA (441 nucleotides) under Paenibacillus sp. S-39-25-1. RNAcentral's name for it is "bacterial SSU rRNA". It matches the Rfam family "Bacterial small subunit ribosomal RNA", at positions 8 to 451 of the family's 1533-position model. The record is from RNAcentral. Lineage: Bacteria; Bacillati; Bacillota; Bacilli; Caryophanales; Paenibacillaceae.